Molecule: ribosomal RNA, 490 nt
Filed under: uncultured Alphaproteobacteria bacterium
Lineage: Bacteria; Pseudomonadati; Pseudomonadota; Alphaproteobacteria
Description: bacterial SSU rRNA
Rfam family: Bacterial small subunit ribosomal RNA
Source: RNAcentral
UAGGGUUUGAUUCUGGCUCAGAGCGAACGCUGGCGGUAUGCUUAACACAUGCAAGUCGAACGAAGGCCCGGAGCUUGCUCCGGUCACCUUAGUGGCGGACGGGUGAGUAACGCGUGGGAAUCUACCCUAUGGUGGGGAAUAACUAUUGGAAACGAUAGCUAAUACCGCAUACGCUCUACGGAGGAAAGGCUUCGGCCGCCGUUGGAGGAUCCCGCGUUCGAUUAGCUUGUUGGUGAGGUAAUGGCUCACCAAGGCGACGAUCGAUAGCUGGUCUGAGAGGAUGAUCAGCCACACUGGAACUGAGACACGGUCCAGACUCCUACGGGAGGCAGCAGUGGGGAAUAUUGGACAAUGGGGGAAACCCUGAUCCAGCAAUGCCGCGUGAGUGAAGAAGGCCUUAGGGUUGUAAAACUCUUUCACCCGUGAAGAUGAUGACUGUAGCGGGAGAAGAAGCUCCGGCUAACUCCGUGCCAGCAGCCGCGGUAAUACA